UACGUAUGGUGCAAGUGUUAUCCGGAUUUACUGGGUGUAAAGGGAGCGUAGACGGAGUGGCAAGUCUGAUGUGAAAACCCGGGGCUCAACCCCGGGACUGCAUUGGAAACUGUCAAUCUAGAGUACCGGAGAGGUAAGCGGAAUUCCUAGUGUAGCGGUGAAAUGCGUAGAUAUUAGGAGGAACACCAGUGGCGAAGGCGGCUUACUGGACGGUAACUGACGUUGAGGCUCGAAAGCGUGGGGAGCAAACAGG
Molecule: ribosomal RNA, 253 nt
Filed under: Mediterraneibacter faecis JCM 15917
Lineage: Bacteria; Bacillati; Bacillota; Clostridia; Lachnospirales; Lachnospiraceae
Description: [Ruminococcus] faecis JCM 15917 partial 16S ribosomal RNA
Rfam family: Bacterial small subunit ribosomal RNA
Source: RNAcentral